CGGACGUUACACCUGGUUUUCGCUCAGGUUCUUGGGAAAGCCCAGCGAGGUGCGAGGGGUCCUGAGCGGGCCCACGGUCAAGAUCAACGCUGUCCUGGUGGUAACGGCGCCCGCUCGCCUUCCGCCCGGCCUCGUUGGGACCUCAAAGGCUCUCUGGGAAACGAGCUCUUCUUGAGCUUAUGAUCGGUUUCUGAAUUCUUCAUUUUUCUGUAACGAUCACACUAGCAGAAGUGUGAGAUCGGGAUCUGAUGUUCAUCUGUGCUUAAACUCUGGGUCCACACCUCGGCAGCAUCUCAAGAAAAAAAGUAAACAGAAAUAAAAGGAAACUCUUAACCAGAAUCUUCCAUUUAAUGUUUUUGGACUGGAGUUGACGGGGGGAACCAUGAAAAGUGAAACCACAGACCUUCAUCACAAGACUGAAUAAAAGUAAUAAAAGAGGAUGUCCUUUACUUGGAACUGAACUUUAGGAAACCAUUCAAUAUUUCAUCACGUUCAUGAUUCAGAUGUUAACUUAAUGAUGAAUGGGUAUUGAAAUUUGUCUAAGACUUCUGCAUUUAUUGAAAUGACAUUACUUUUAUUCUCUAUUCAGUCACUAUGAGGAAUUGUAUGGAUUGAUUUUCAAACAUUACAUCAGUUUGCAUUCCAGGAUAAAAUGCUGCUUGAUCAUGAUAUGUUAUCCUUUUUAUAUAUUGUUGGAUUUGAUUUACUAAUACUUUAUUGAGAGUUUUUGUGUCAGCCUGGCCAGUGCAGCUCAGUUGAUUGAGCUUCAUCCCACGCACUGGGAGAUCAGGUAGUUAAUAGUUUAGUUCACGUCAAAUAUGGUGACAGAUACUUUCAAGAGAUUUCUAGUAUUUUUAUGAAGUGACAACUAGUAUUUGAUUUUGUUUCAGCUACUUCAUUUCUACAUGUAAGAACUCACUAUUAGUUUCAUAUUUAUUGGUGAUUCUUUGGUUUACAUUUUAGACUGAACCCAAGUCACACACAUUAGAAUAUCAGGUCCUCUCCCACCCCACCAAAUUUACAGGCCCACCCAAGCUGUUUCCAGUGCCUUUUCCAUAUGAAUAACCUGUCUUAGCUCAUGCUUCAAACUUUCCUAAAAUCUCCAAAUACGCAGCAUCUCACCUCAGCCUUCCCCAUACCUCACUAAAUGAUCCCAGGGCUGGCACUAGCAGCAGCCAGCCGUGGUUCCCUGCUUGGCCUCUCCUGGGCAACUCCAAGCCCAAAACAUAGCAGGAAGCUGCAGAUCACUUUGUAGCUCAAGCUGGGUGGCCCUG
Non-coding RNA from Miniopterus natalensis, 1274 nucleotides. NCBI's taxonomy places the organism in Eukaryota, Metazoa, Chordata, Mammalia, Chiroptera, Miniopteridae. The record is from RefSeq and is a predicted model, not a curated record.